CAAUUCUGAAGAGGUCACUACGGUUCCUCUUACAGAUCCCGAUCAAGCUUAAGAGCUCAUUACGGUCAAGCUAAAGACCAUAAACAAGCGCUUCGUGGGAGGCAACCCACUAGGUAUCUUGUAUAUAUUCUGGUUUUAUUGCUUUCAAACUUAUUUUUUUUUUCAUCUUUUUGCUUCGAUUCCACUCUGCUGGGAGUGACGGAAUGAUCGGUCCAACUCUACACCGAUCAAACCAUGCUGUUUCAUGCUGCUUUUUAGUUUUCUAUGUGCAGGAAAGAAGGACCGAUCGGUCCUUACAAGAAUCGAUCGAUCCAUUGGGUUCUGAAAGACCCGGCAGCAGCUGACCGAUCGGUCGUUCCUUCCGACCGAUCGGUUGUUAAUCGC
This 384-nucleotide long non-coding RNA is filed under the name Capsella rubella. Its description in RNAcentral is "long non-coding RNA (CRUB_LNC000347)". The record is from RNAcentral. Lineage: Eukaryota; Viridiplantae; Streptophyta; Magnoliopsida; Brassicales; Brassicaceae.